UGGAAGACUAGUGAUUUUGUUGUUGUCUCGCUACUGAUCAACAACAAGUCCCAGUCUGCCACA
RNAcentral lists this microRNA precursor (63 nucleotides) under Echinops telfairi (small Madagascar hedgehog). RNAcentral describes it as "Ete-Mir-7-P1_pre stem-loop". It matches the Rfam family "mir-7 microRNA precursor family", at positions 16 to 77 of the family's 91-position model. From Rfam's summary of the family: This family represents the microRNA (miRNA) precursor mir-7. Lineage: Eukaryota; Metazoa; Chordata; Mammalia; Afrosoricida; Tenrecidae. The record is from RNAcentral.